RNAcentral lists this microRNA (22 nucleotides) under Oreochromis niloticus (Nile tilapia). RNAcentral's name for it is "oni-miR-10593". Lineage: Eukaryota; Metazoa; Chordata; Actinopteri; Cichliformes; Cichlidae. The record is from miRBase by way of RNAcentral.
UAAGGAGAAGUAAGUUCCGGUC